UUUCCGUAGGUGAACCUGCGGAAGGAUCAUUACCGAGUGAGGGUCUCUCAGGCCCGACCUCCCACCCUGUGUUUUUGUGACCUUGUUGCUUUGGCGGGCCCGCCUCGAUGAGAGGCCGCCGGAAGCUCACCGCUUUGGGCCCGUGCCCGCCAGUAGCCCCCUUAAAUUCUUAAUAAACCUGUCGUCUGAGUAUAGAUAUAAUAAAAAAAACUUUCAACAACGGAUCUCUUGGUUCUG
RNAcentral lists this unclassified non-coding RNA (237 nucleotides) under plant metagenome. RNAcentral's name for it is "partial contains small subunit ribosomal RNA, internal transcribed spacer 1, and 5.8S ribosomal RNA". The record is from RNAcentral.